GCGCGAAAACUUUACAAUGCUGGCAACAGCGAUAAGGGAACCUCGAGUGCCAGGUUACAAAUCUGGCUGUCGAGAUGCCUAAAAAGCAUUUCAUAGCAAGGGCCGGGCAAGACCGGUGCCAGCCGCCGCGGUAACACCGGCGGCUCGAGUGGUAACCGUUAUUAUUGGGUCUAAAGGGUCUGUAGCCGGCCGGAUAAGUCUCUUGAGAAAUCUGGCAGCUUAACUGUCAGGCUUUCAGGAGAUACUGUCUGGCUCGAGGCCGGGAGAGGUGAGAGGUACUUCAGGGUUAGAGGUGAAAUCUUGUAAUCCUUGAAGGACCACAAGUGGCGAAGGCGUCUCACCAGAACGGACCUGACGGCAAGGGACGAAAGCUAGGGGCACGAACC
This 386-nucleotide ribosomal RNA is filed under the name uncultured prokaryote. RNAcentral's name for it is "bacterial SSU rRNA". It matches the Rfam family "Archaeal small subunit ribosomal RNA", at positions 339 to 725 of the family's 1478-position model. The record is from RNAcentral.